This 401-nucleotide ribosomal RNA is filed under the name Euphyllura sp. 154 GC-2019. RNAcentral's name for it is "partial 16S ribosomal RNA". Lineage: Eukaryota; Metazoa; Arthropoda; Insecta; Hemiptera; Liviidae. The record is from RNAcentral.
AAACAUUUUUGGGAGAAGAUAUUUUUGAUAAGGCCUGCUCUAUGCUGUAAAUGGCUGCAGUAUUUUGACUGUACAAAGGUAGCAUAAUCAUUAGUCUUUUAAUUGAGGGCUGGUAUGAAUGGCUAGACGGAAAAUUUUUAUUAUUAUGUGAAUUUAAUUUUUAAGUUAAAAAGCUUAAAUUUUUAAAAGGGACGAGAAGACCCUAUAGAAUUUUAUAAAUUGAAAUAUUUAUUGGGGUGAUAAGAGUAACUUUUUAUUCAUUAUUUGAGUUGAGAUCUUGAAGAUAAUAAGAUUAAAUUACCUUAGGGAUAACAGCAUAAUUUUUUUUAAAAGUUCAUAUUUAUAGAAAAGAUUAUGACCUCGAUGUUGAAUUGAUAAUAUUUAGGUGUAGGAGUUAAGUA